Molecule: ribosomal RNA, 492 nt
Filed under: uncultured bacterium
Lineage: Bacteria
Description: partial 16S ribosomal RNA
Rfam family: Bacterial small subunit ribosomal RNA
Source: RNAcentral
AGUGAACGCUGGCGGUAGGCCUAACACAUGCAAGUCGAACGGCAGCACAGUAAGAGCUUGCUCUUACGGGUGGCGAGUGGCGGACGGGUGGGUAAUACAUCGGAAUCUACUUUUUCGUGGGGGAUAACGUAGGGAAACUUACGCUAAUACCGCAUACGACCUACGGGUGAAAGCAGGGGAUCUUCGGACCUUGCGCGAUUGAAUGAGCCGAUGUCGGAUGAGCUAGUUGGCGGGGUAAAGGCCCACCAAGGCGACGAUCCGUAGCUGGUCUGAGAGGAUGAUAAGCCACACUGGAACUGAGACACGGUCCAGAAUCCUACGGGAGGCAGCAGUGGGGAAUAUUGGACAAUGGGCGCAAGCCUGAUCCAGCAAUACCGCGUGGGUGAAGAAGGCCUUCGGGUUGUAAAGCCCUUUUGUUGGGAAAGAAAAGCAGCAGGUUAAUACCCCGCUGUUCUGACGGUACCCAAAGAAUAAGCACCGGCUAACUUCGUG